CCAGAGGCCCAGCUGGCCUCCCUGAGCCUCGGUCUUCUGUAAGCAGAACCAACCUCACCGGUGCCUGCCUCAUAAAGCCGAGAGCAGAAUUCAAGAAUGAACCAGAAGCACUGUCCCAAAAGGGUUAAAAUAGCCCAGUGCGUGGGACAGCACACAGGAAGCACAGGAAAUGUUAGGUGGCGCAGUAACCCCAGCAAGCCACGGGCCCAGGGCUCGCCACAGCCUGCAGGUUUGUAAUCCCCAGACCUUCACGGACUCCGGGGGCGCAGGCCCACGCGUGGGUCCAGACGAACGCCGAGCAGUACGGGGUGUCCGUGCGACCCCGUGGUACAUGGCCAGAGAGAGAAUGAAGUUCUGGUAAGCGCUCCAAGAUGAGGCCCUGAGAACAUCAGGUCGUUUCUGGAAGGCCACGGGGAGGCUGUGGACAGCAAUUAGUCCCUCCAGAGAUGAGCAGGAAGGAGAUGUUUUACUUAAGUUCUCACCAUGAGCAUGUAUUACUUUUGUAACAAAGUAACAGUUUAACAUGUAAUUAAGCUCUGAAACAAGAAGCUUUAACUCUUAUGACCACCCCAACUAACCGAAGAGGAACGUGGCUCCUGGGCCUCACCUCCUCCAGGAAGUCCUUCUACAGGCCCAGCGCCCCAGCUACACCACCUUCCCCAGAUGGAAAGGAGCACCCUGCCUGCCGCCUUUCCUCAUCUGCCUCUCCCGUGAAGCUAGGAGGGCCUGGACGGAGGGGCCUGUCUGACUCAUCCCGGAUCCCCGGUUCCGGCAAGACGCCUGGCACUGCUGAGUGAAGGAAUGAGGCUCAGAGAGGUUAGAGCAGCGGCCUUGACCUCUGGAGAUCACAGAGUACGUGGUUUGGCAGGGUGAGACCCAGUCUCUGGGCUCUAACCUCACCACACCCUGACUUCUGUAGCAUGGCUCCCUCCCACUCACUAAAAAUGUCCCAAAGAGGCCACCUAGAUGUCACUACACGGCCUCCAGCCCUUGUGUAGGUGUUGUGGCAUUCAGGUUUGGGAGCAAAGAUUGUUCAGGGCCCGGGGGUAGCUGGAAAUGCCCAUGUGUACAUUAGGAAAGCCAUAAAAGGAGGGUAAUUUGCCCCUUUGGCCAAGAACGUCAUAAAAUAAAGAGUGGUUUGCC
Molecule: long non-coding RNA, 1143 nt
Organism: Marmota monax (woodchuck)
Lineage: Eukaryota; Metazoa; Chordata; Mammalia; Rodentia; Sciuridae
Exons: 2
Source: RefSeq, a predicted model, not a curated record